CCUGAUGUGCCCCUGGUGGUGGGACAGGCUCCCUCAGGGGCAGCUGCACCACUGUUGAGCCUGUCAACUUUGAAGAUUUUUUCUUCUCUUAGGCAAACAUCUGCUUCCCUAAAUGCCUGUUCAUCCUUCCUGGUUACAUGUUUUACAGUAAGACGGAAUGAGCUAGACUCCCUGUUGUGGGACAAUCCUUCGGACAUCUCACGGCAGCUGUUGGAGAUGCCUGUCACCCUCAGCCUCACUACCUGGCACCCUCAUUCCUUCCCUUUGUCCCAGACAUGCCUUCACUGAGAGCCUUCCCAGAUAUCCUGGCCACUCUCCUUCUAAUGGAUGUUUUUUUAUACACUUUAUUUUUUAGAGUAGUUUUAGGUUCAUAGCAAAACUGAGCAGAAGGCACAGAGCUCCCAAAUACCCCCUGCCCCACCUAUGCACAGCCUCCCGACCUAUCAGCAUCUCUCACCACAGCAGUGCAUUGCUACAGUUGAUGAGCCUGUGCUCACAUGUCACUAUGUUACCCGGAAAAAAACAGGGCUCAUUCUAAAACCAGCCCAAUUGUCCUAUCAAACUAAUACUUAUGUUUUUUUUAAUAAACCUAGAAAUUCACUCCCCCAACCCUGAGCUUAAAACUUGUAAUUUGUCUCAUCUGUGUUUCUUUCUCAGAAAACUGACUCUCAGGCAAGAACCUGAAACUCAUCAGAUUUCCACUUCCAGACAAUGAGAUGUCAGCCCCCUCAUCCAUCAUGAUUACUUCCUUAUCCCUCCCUAAUUCCUGGCGCUAUAAGCACCCCAAUUUUAAUCUGUUGGAGAGAUGGAUUUGAGACUGAGCUCCCAUCUUCCUUGGCUGCAGCACCCAAUUGAAGCCUUCUUCCCUGGCAGUACUUGCUGUCUCAGUGAUUGGCUUCCUGCGCAGGACCUAGACCAAAUCCUCAGUGUUUCAGUAACAGUUUGCCUGGCAGCUGCUACACAGCACCCUCCGUGCCCCUGGCUCUCCUGCUUUGGGCUGGUAGAAGAUCGGGCAUCCUGGGCCGGUUUCCUCAGAAUACUCCUGAAAUCCUGCAGAGACUGGGAAGGGACCCAUCCCCGCCAGCUGCAGACUCAGCCGGAGUUGGCUCAAGCUUGUCUUCUUCACAGGCGUAAGCUAGUGGGAUUUUUCCUGCUGGGGCUUUUCUGCUAAUUGUUCUUUAUUGAAGUAUCACUGACACACGGUAAAGGACACAAAUCUUAAGCGCUCAGCUCAAUGCAUUUUGACACAUUCACACACUCACGUGAGCAUCACACAAAUGCAGUGAGAGUAUUUCCAUGGCCACACCAAGUCCCUUUCAGUCACUCUCCCAGCCCCUGCUCAGGCAAUGAUGGCUCUGAUUUUUCAAAAUUCAGUGAGAUUAUACGGUGUGCUGUCCUCUACGUCUGACUGCUUUCUCUCAACAAAAUGUUUCUGAGGCGUAUCCAUGAUUGCACGUAUCAGCAGUUCCUUUCUAUCAAUGAGUAGUAUUCCAUUGUAGGAAGAUAACAUGGCUUGUCCCACCCGUUGGUAGAAAUUUGGAUUGUUUCCAGUUUGAGGCUACAGUGAAGAGACGCUAUGGAAGUCCUUGUGCAUGUCUUUUUGUGGACAUAGUCACUCAUUCCUGCUAAGUAUAUUUCUAAUGUUGAAACUGUUGGAUCAUAGGGUAGUUAUAUGUUCAACAUUAUUGAGAAGGAGGAAGGACCCCUAAGACCCACCUUAAGGGCCCACGGGGUCAUCCCCGAGCAUGGAAAUGAAGGAAAAUCUGAGUCUCUUCAAGGGAAAUUCCAAACAUCUAGCUAGUCUUGGGAGGUAAAUGAGAAAUCUGAUAAACAAGAAGGCAACAGCA
RNAcentral lists this long non-coding RNA (1847 nucleotides) under Papio anubis (olive baboon). RNAcentral's name for it is "lncRNA (ENSPANG00000048135.1)". The record is from RNAcentral. Lineage: Eukaryota; Metazoa; Chordata; Mammalia; Primates; Cercopithecidae.